This 596-nucleotide ribosomal RNA is filed under the name uncultured bacterium. Its description in RNAcentral is "bacterial SSU rRNA". It matches the Rfam family "Bacterial small subunit ribosomal RNA", at positions 338 to 944 of the family's 1533-position model. The record is from RNAcentral.
CCUACGGGAGGCAGCAGUGGGGAAUUUUCCGCAAUGGGCGAAAGCCUGACGGAGCAAUACCGCGUGAGGGAAGACUGCCUAUGGGUUGUAAACCUCUUUUUUCAGGGAGGAAUAAAAUGACGUGUACCUGAAGAAUAAGCAUCGGCUAACUCCGUGCCAGCAGCCGCGGUAAGACGGAGGAUGCAAGUGUUAUCCGGAAUCACUGGGCGUAAAGCGUCUGUAGGUGGUUUAAUAAGUCAACUGUUAAAUCUUGAGGCUCAACUUCAAAACCGCAGUCGAAACUAUUAGACUAGAGUAUAGUAGAGGUAAAGGGAAUUUCCAGUGGAGCGGUGAAAUGCGUAGAUAUUAGAAAGAACACCGAUGGCGAAAGCACUUUACUGGGCUAUUACUAACACUCAGAGACGAAAGCUAGGGUAGCAAAUGGGAUUAGAUACCCCAGUAGUCCUAGCCGUAAACUAUGGAUACUAGAUGUUGAACAGAUCGACCUGUGCAGUAUCAAAGCUAACGCGUUAAGUAUCCCGCCUGGGAAGUAUGCUCGCAAGAGUUGAAACUCAAAUNAUAGNGNGNGNGACGNGCGACGACGACGACGAGGAGAG